This 86-nucleotide transfer RNA is filed under the name Candidatus Aenigmatarchaeota archaeon. Its description in RNAcentral is "tRNA-Leu". It matches the Rfam family "tRNA". From Rfam's summary of the family: Transfer RNA (tRNA) molecules are approximately 80 nucleotides in length. Their secondary structure includes four short double-helical elements and three loops (D, anti-codon, and T loops). The record is from RNAcentral. Lineage: Archaea; Nanobdellati; Candidatus Aenigmatarchaeota.
GCAGGGGUCGGAUAGCCCGGUCAAUUCCGCCAGCUUGAGGUGUUGGUUGCUUAGUGCAUACGCGAGUUCAAAUCUCGCCCCCUGCA